This is a non-coding RNA of Triticum urartu, 81 nucleotides long. NCBI's taxonomy places the organism in Eukaryota, Viridiplantae, Streptophyta, Magnoliopsida, Poales, Poaceae. The record is from Rfam.
CCCAGAGGUAUUGAUGGGUGAACAUCAAAAAGUUUUUAUCGCUUUGUUUCACCAACCUGCGCAGAUGCGCAGGUUUUUUUU